Molecule: ribosomal RNA, 327 nt
Filed under: uncultured bacterium
Lineage: Bacteria
Description: bacterial SSU rRNA
Rfam family: Bacterial small subunit ribosomal RNA
Source: RNAcentral
CUAGCGACUUCAGAGUUUGAUCCUGGCUCAGGAUGAACGCUGACAGAAUGCUUAACACAUGCAAGUCGACUCGAGUCUUCGGACUUGGGUGGCGCACGGGUGAGUAACGCGUAAAGAACUUGCCUCUUAGACCGGGACAACAGCUGGAAACGGCUGCUAAUACCGCAUAAGCGCACGGUCUCGCAUGAGACAGUGUGAAAAACUCCGGUGGUAUGGGAUGGGCCCGCGCCUGAUUAGCUAGUUGGUGAGGGAGAGGCUCACCAAGGCGACGAUCAGUAGCCGACCUGAGAGGGUGACCGGCCACAUUGGGACUGAGACACGGCCCAA